Molecule: regulatory RNA element, 102 nt
Organism: Gracilibacillus kekensis
Lineage: Bacteria; Bacillati; Bacillota; Bacilli; Caryophanales; Bacillaceae
Rfam family: Purine riboswitch aptamer
About the family: Riboswitches are metabolite binding domains within certain messenger RNAs that serve as precision sensors for their corresponding targets. Allosteric rearrangement of mRNA structure is mediated by ligand binding, and this results in modulation of gene expression.
Source: Rfam
ACGCAUCUGUUUCAAUACCUUCAUAUAUGUUUGAGAAUAGGGCUCAAAUGUUUCUACCGGAACACCGUAAAUGUUCGGACUAUGAAGGCGGCGAUCUUACCA